Long non-coding RNA from Capsicum annuum, 1484 nucleotides. RefSeq lists it as uncharacterized. Lineage: Eukaryota; Viridiplantae; Streptophyta; Magnoliopsida; Solanales; Solanaceae. The record is from RefSeq and is a predicted model, not a curated record. The transcript is spliced from 4 exons.
AAAAAGGAAAGUGAGGUACUGUAUUUUUCUAGAAAACUCAUAUUUCUUCUUCCCAAAAAACACUUCGUAUUCUCCGCUGAAACAAUUUUCUCAAUCUGAAGUUUCAUUUCAACAUUUAUUCUUUUAAGCUUGUUUGAUGAUGGAAAAUUUAACAUCUUAUUUUAUUUUUCUGAAAUUUAAGCAUGUGUGUUGAGCGGAUAUUGAUGUUUAAAGAAUUGUGGAUUGUCAAGAGCUGUGUGAAAAAAAAUUGAUUUAUAUUUGUAAAAAUGACUCAUCAGAUUAAGCAGCCUUGUAGAGAUCAUCUCCGUGAAAGAAUAGUCUCUGUUGAAUCUUCAAAUUUGAGUGGAUAUGCCUCGAGUUGUUGCUAUCAAUUCCCAAGCAUGCACUAAAGAUUGGAUCUCAUUUGAGAAAACGUAACCUUUACUUCUCAGAUACAACACUUAUAUGGACUUUUGAUGAUAUUGUGGACAGCCUUGAGAAUGCUGGAGACGCUUCUGUUCUGCCGAUGCUAAGGGCUGCCAGAUUAAUCAUGUAGCUGUUAGCUUUAAGAAGGAAAGGUUCGAUGGUCUCUACCUGUCAUGGCAUAGACAUUCAGUGUAUCAUACGAACAGAGCCAAGUAAUAUGAAAGUAAAGGAGUAAUUCGAAAGCGACAUCUGGUGGAGUUGCCUUCUGCGAGUAAAAUCAAGAAUGCGAGAAGUAAGUGGUUUGAAAUUAGGUUCAUAACGUAAUCGUCUUUUGAAUCUGCCCAAAUAAUACCUUCUCGACACCGGCAACGAAGAAGAUGACGAUGACAAUGUCAGUCUCUGAAAUGCAUUUUGAUUCCGUUGCUGCUGCAAGGAUUUUGUUUUUGCGAUUACAUUUAAAAAGGUGUUGCUUCAGUUGCUAUAUAUUUAUUCAUCUAUGACAAAUUGCCAAUGUGUUCAACCACACUGAUUGUGAAGUUGCAUUUGGCCUAUGUCUUUCUGUGUUUUUUUUUUGCCAUAAAAUGAAACCCAACAAUGUAUUUCAGUUGCUUCAAAAGAGGCUUAAAAGCGUGUAUUUAUUCUAUGGGUAGUUAACGUGCAGUUUAUAUAGGGGCAGUUAAUAGCAGAUAUAGAUAGAUUUUUUAUUUUAAAUUAUUUUUUUAAAAAAAUUUAUAGAUAGAUUUUUAUUUUUUUAAAAUAGGAUUUUUCUAGUAUUGACACAUAAGGUUUUUGCCUCUCUUAUUAUAUAUAGAUAGAUUAGCUGCCUUUUUAUUUUAUUUUAUUCUCUUACGGUAAUUAGUAGCUCAUCAGACAUGUUUCAUACGCCUAUUUGUGGUAAGUACAUUAUUUGUAAAAUAUAAUUGAUUUACUUAACGGGUGUCUUCCUUUUUAUUGCUUUGACUAAAUUUGAUAUUAUAAGUGUGAUUUCAUAUUUAUGGAAAACCUCAUUGAUUGGCUUCAUCAACUAUUUUCCUCUUUCUUAAUUGAUUCGGACUGAUUUUUUGAAUAUCUUUUUUCCU